CGGGCUCAGCAGAGCCGCGCGCCUCCGCCUUUCCUCCCUCCCACAGCUCCAGGUCAGCGUCUUGGCCCCAGCACUCAGGGAUUCCUGUGAUUUCUUCGACUCCGGAGGAUCUGGGCCCUUUUCCCCUCUGUUGCCAUCUGUCUCGCCCCAGCACUGCCAAGGGGGACGGGGCUGCAGGAUCUUCCUGUUACCAUGGAGAGAGGCGAAGAGCAUGUAUGGACAAGAUAAUAUAGAAAGAACAGCAAGCAAACAAACCUCACCGAGGUCAGUUCUCCCCUGGCUUAGUGCGUGUGAUGGAGGCGGGGAUGGGCUGAAACUUCCAGCCACUCUGAAGGCAUUCAUACAGCGAGGACCAACAGCACAGCUUGGAUCCUCAGAUGAACUUUGUUGCAGGGCUUGGCUUCUUCCUGUUAGAUCUCCUAAUUGGAUUUCUCCUCUCCAAUCUACUUAGUCUCUUCUGUGCGCCCAGCAAAACCCUUUAACCCUUCGACACCCCUCCACCUCGCUGAGCUGGCUGCCCUCGGAUGCUCUCUUCUCCCCGCGCGGCUCUGAUUUAGCUCCCUCUUGGCAGCAUCACUCAUUUCCCCCCCUCUGCGAAUAACUGAGCUGUGCUUGAUGUUACUUCAGAGCAGCUCCUCUUCCCACUUGGCACCGGCACGGCUUCCCUAAGCGACGGCUGUCCUCCCUCGUCUCGCUGCCCAAAGACAAUGUGCUGCUUCCUAAUCUCCUUCGCUAUCUGCGGGCUGCGGGGGGGCACAAAGGCUCGUUUGGUUUUAACCGAGAAUAAGCAAAGUGACCUACAUCACCCUCCAGAAAGGCUAGCAGCAGCUCCGAAGUCACGCUAGGGCCAAGGAGUGCUGCUGAGAGCUGGAGGGGACGGAUCCGUCAAGCUCAGACUCUUCUUUUCCCCUCCAGGAGAGGUGAGGCUAUCUGAUUUUCUCCUUCUUUCCCCAACCUGGACCAAGGUUUCCAGGAGAAACCUGCUGGUUUGAGGUGUCACAGGCGCAGGGGACAGCUGAGGGCAGCUGCAAGUGAAAUCGCCCAGAAGUGACAAGACUUUGGCUGCAACUAACAGAAAGCUGAAGCUCUGCUCCGGGCAUCAGCUGAGACAGGAGGGUUUCUGAAACCAAGCCUGGUGGUGCCAGAGGUGGUGGAAUAAGAUCUUCUACCAGUGAGUGUGAAAGGAGGAAAAACAGGGAGAAGUGGUACCCAAGUCCUUCCUACCUGGCCUCUCAGCCCAGGUCCAGGUGCCUGGCUCUUGGCAGGCCUUGAUGGACCCCAUCCCUCUCCUCUUUUCCUGCUUUUCCAGCUUCUUUGUGACCUCAGCACCUUUGUGCUUGUGAUGCUGGAGCGUGUCGCCAUAGUUAAGGCUGCUAUUCCCAGCAGGAAUAUCAUCCCACCUGUGAGACGGAUAGGUUUGAACAUCGGGGUGUGGAUGAGUGAACACGAUUACCCUCACUCGCUGUUCCCACUGAGCAGGUGGAAAAACAAAUCUGCCAGGUACAGAAAGCCCUUCUGGGGAACGGCAAUGGGGAGAGCCCUCCCAUGGAGGAGCUGGUCCGAGGGAGAGCGGGCAGGGAUUAAUUUGCUGAGAAAACCUAUAGCUUCAAACUGGGUCUGUUUGAAGGGUUCAUGUGGAAAAAUGGUGGUCAGGGUUACCUCUCUGUAUCCUAUCCUUGUGUUGGCAGAGCUAUGACAAGCUUGGUCCCUGGGGCUUCCCUGGGCUCUGGUUGCCCUGAGUGCUCAAGGAGCUUGCAAGUUAUCUCUUUUUUCUUUUUUUUUCUUUUUUUUUUUCUUUUUUUUUUCCCAAGCUGGAGGGCUCGGGAGAGGGACAGGGUCACACCUGUUACAUAGAGCAUUUUUCACUGUUUAAGUGGGAAUAUGGAGCACAAGUUGUCUGUUAAAAUAGUAAUAAUAAGUUCAGGAUUUUAUGGGGGGCUUACAGUGUUAUAGGCUUUGCCUAUUAGACCCAUUUAUGGGAUCCAUGAGAUUAAAUAAUGCUUUUUGUACCUAAAUAUCAGCUAAAAUUGUUUCUCUGACGGCUUAGGCACCGAAGGAAUAGGCACUGCCUGUUGCUCACUACGAGCAUUGGCUUUUGUUUGACUGGGAUCGUGUUUUAUAACAACCCUGCUCAGUUUGCAGUGACCCCAGCAGGCAAUCACACCGUGGCUAAUAGCAAACUCACUGGCAGGGGCUUACCGCUGGUAUUUGCUGCUGACGGUGGAAGGUAGCUGGUUGAGGUCUGUGGCGAUGAUGUGGUGAUUAGGGUGGGUUGUUGGUCACAGCACAACCGGGUAAUUGCUAACGAUGAGCUAGUGAACUCCCAGGUAAUUGCACCUUACCCAGCCAGGUGUGUUGUCACCAGCCGUGUUAUAAAGGCAAAGCUGUGAGGUGUGUGAAGGGCAGUCAUUGUCUCCAUGUGACACUGCUGAAUCACAGCCAGAAAAUGAUCCCUUCCCCUUACCAAGGAAAAUAAUGCUUGAUCUGUUUGUGUUUGUUUUAUUAAAGAGAUAAUA
Long non-coding RNA from Anas platyrhynchos (mallard), 2516 nucleotides. RefSeq lists it as uncharacterized. Lineage: Eukaryota; Metazoa; Chordata; Aves; Anseriformes; Anatidae. The record is from RefSeq and is a predicted model, not a curated record.